CUAAGAAUCCUACAUUUGAACCUGGACUUCCAAGUUGUUAUGAAGGUGUAUUUACCAAGGUGCCUUUACAGCUGUGAAGUCAGAGAAUGAAACAUUUUGUGGGUGAUGACUUGUAGUUCUGUGCUUCCUUUUUAUCUGGCCCAAGUUUUCAAUCAAAGGAUCAAAAAACAAGCUUCAAGGGAAAGAAGAACCUGUGUUUGUUUUAGCUCUUCUUUCCAAAAGAGUUGGAGAAAGAAGCAGUACUUCUUUAUCGCACAGAAAACCAAAUAGCACAGUAUAUCCUGAAAGAAACUUGCCACUUCAGAGGAUUUGCUGCCACCGAUGUCACUUGCUAUUAGUAGUGAGUUGACUUUGCAUUCUCUGAGGCUCAGAUUCCCAC
Long non-coding RNA from Symphalangus syndactylus (siamang), 379 nucleotides. RefSeq lists it as uncharacterized. NCBI's taxonomy places the organism in Eukaryota, Metazoa, Chordata, Mammalia, Primates, Hylobatidae. The record is from RefSeq and is a predicted model, not a curated record.